GUGAGGCUUCCCCAGCCAUGUGGAACUGUCGUUCCAGUUUCCUUAUCUGUAAAAUGGGGGAAACAAUAGUGUUGACCUCAAACAGUUGUGGUGAAGAUGAAAUGAGAUAUUUCACAUGAAGCUCAAAGAACGGUGACUGACCUACACGGGCUGGAACGGCUUCUAGAAGGAACACAAAGAGACGCGGAGAAGCCACUGAAGAAAGAAAGAAAGGAGUAGAGGCUGGGAGCAGGGGGCGGCG
Molecule: long non-coding RNA, 241 nt
Organism: Cercocebus atys (sooty mangabey)
Lineage: Eukaryota; Metazoa; Chordata; Mammalia; Primates; Cercopithecidae
Exons: 3
Source: RefSeq, a predicted model, not a curated record